ACACAUAAAUAAGAUUUAGUGCUGCGU
This 27-nucleotide small RNA is filed under the name Bombyx mori (domestic silkworm). Its description in RNAcentral is "ovarian small RNA-10996". The record is from RNAcentral. Lineage: Eukaryota; Metazoa; Arthropoda; Insecta; Lepidoptera; Bombycidae.